This 472-nucleotide ribosomal RNA is filed under the name uncultured bacterium. RNAcentral's name for it is "bacterial SSU rRNA". It matches the Rfam family "Bacterial small subunit ribosomal RNA", at positions 32 to 507 of the family's 1533-position model. The record is from RNAcentral.
CAACGCUGGCGGCGUGCCUAAACACAUGCAAGUCGAACGCGAAAGUGGAGCAAUCCAUGAGUAGAGUGGCAAACAGGUGAGUAACACGUGGGUGACCUGCCUUAGAGUGGGGGAUAACGUCCCGAAAGGGACGCUAAUACCGCAUAACAUGCUGCCUUUUAAGAGGUGGACAUCAAAGCCGGGGACCGCAAGGCCUGGCGCUUAAAGAGGGGCCCGCGCCUGAUUAGGUAGUUGGUGGGGUAAUGGCCUACCAAGCCUGCGAUCGGUAGCUGGUCUGAGAGGACGAUCAGCCACACUGGGACUGAGACACGGCCCAGACUCCUACGGGAGGCAGCAGUGGGGAAUAUUGGACAAUGGGCGAAAGCCUGAUCCAGCAAUGCCGCGUGUGUGAAGAAGGUCUUCGGAUCGUAAAGCACUUUCGACAGGGACGAUGAUGACGGUACCUGUAGAAGAAGCCCCGGCUAACUUCGUG